UGGGGAAUAUUGGACAAUGGGCGCAAGCCUGAUCCAGCCAUACCGCGUGGGUGAAGAAGGCCUUCGGGUUGUAAAGCCCUUUUGUUGGGAAUGAAAUCCAGCCGGCUAAUACCUGGUUGGGAUGACGGUACCCAAAGAAUAAGCACCGGCUAACUUCGUGCCAGCAGCCGCGGUAAUACGAAGGGUGCAAGCGUUACUCGGAAUUACUGGGCGUAAAGCGUGCGUAGGUGGUUAUUUAAGUCCGUUGUGAAAGCCCUGGGCUCAACCUGGGAACUGCAGUGGAUACUGGAUGACUAGAAUGUGGUAGAGGGUAGCGGAAUUCCUGGUGUAGCAGUGAAAUGCGUAGAGAUCAGGAGGAACAUCCAUGGCGAAGGCAGCUACCUGGACCAACAUUGACACUGAGGCACGAAAGCGUGGGGAGCAAACA
Molecule: ribosomal RNA, 427 nt
Filed under: uncultured bacterium
Lineage: Bacteria
Description: partial 16S ribosomal RNA
Rfam family: Bacterial small subunit ribosomal RNA
Source: RNAcentral